Molecule: unclassified non-coding RNA, 625 nt
Filed under: Piloderma sp. 1 CG-2012
Lineage: Eukaryota; Fungi; Basidiomycota; Agaricomycetes; Atheliales; Atheliaceae
Description: sequence contains ITS1, 5.8S rRNA gene, ITS2
Rfam family: 5.8S ribosomal RNA (bases 209-363)
Source: RNAcentral
UAUUGAGUUGUUUACACCUAGAAGGGUUGUUGCUGGCCUCUUGGGGCAAUGUGCACACCUCUGGGUGAUUCAUCCACACACACCUGUGAACCUGUUUGUGGGAUGCCUCUUCGGGGGUUACCUCCCAUGUUUAUAUUGCACACGCACUUUUUAGUAUGUCCCUAGAGUGUUAAAGCUGCUGAGAAGGCAGUUUUGAAUAUGUAUAUACAACUUUCAACAACGGAUCUCUUGGCUCUCGCAUCGAUGAAGAACGCAGCGAAAUGCGAUAAGUAAUGUGAAUUGCAGAUUUUCAGUGAAUCAUCGAAUCUUUGAACGCACCUUGCGCUCCUUGGUAUUCCAAUGAGCAUGCCUGUUUGAGUGUCAUUAAAUUCUUCUCAACUCUGGAUUGGGUUUGUUGUCUGUUCUGGAGUUUGGACUUGGAGUGUGCUGGUUCCCCUUUGCUUGGGCAUUGGGUCAGCUCCUCUUGAAAGCAUCGAGCAGAUGUGAGUUUAUUAUGCCUGCUGGCCUCAGCGUGAUAAGCAUGUUGCGUUGUUGUUGGGAAUGGCAAGUAGGAUCUGCUUUAUACGGUUGGUCGUCUUCUGGAUGGGAAGCGUGAUCACAACCCCCCCCCUCUCUUUGAAACUUG